RNAcentral lists this ribosomal RNA (495 nucleotides) under uncultured bacterium. Its description in RNAcentral is "partial 16S ribosomal RNA". It matches the Rfam family "Bacterial small subunit ribosomal RNA", at positions 28 to 507 of the family's 1533-position model. The record is from RNAcentral.
GACGAACGCUGGCGGCGUGCCUAAUACAUGCAAGUAGAACGCUGAAGGAGGAGCUUGCUCCUCUGGAUGAGUUGCGAACGGGUGAGUAACGCGUAGGUAACCUGCCUGGUAGCGGGGGAUAACUAUUGGAAACGAUAGCUAAUACCGCAUAACAGUAGAUAUCGCAUGAUAUCUACUUGAAAGGUGCAAUUGCAUCACUACCAGAUGGACCUGCGUUGUAUUAGCUAGUUGGUGAGGUAACGGCUCACCAAGGCGACGAUACAUAGCCGACCUGAGAGGGUGAUCGGCCACACUGGGACUGAGACACGGCCCAGACUCCUACGGGAGGCAGCAGUAGGGAAUCUUCGGCAAUGGACGGAAGUCUGACCGAGCAACGCCGCGUGAGUGAAGAAGGGUUUCGGAUCGUAAAGCUCUGUUGUAAGAGAAGAACGAGUGUGAGAGUGGAAAGUUCACACUGUGACGGUAUCUGACCAGAAAGGGACGGCUAACUACGUG